This 274-nucleotide ribosomal RNA is filed under the name uncultured bacterium. RNAcentral describes it as "partial 16S ribosomal RNA". It matches the Rfam family "Bacterial small subunit ribosomal RNA", at positions 523 to 796 of the family's 1533-position model. The record is from RNAcentral.
AUACGGGGGGGGCGAGCGUUGUCCGGAAUCAUUGGGCGUAAAGGGUGAGUAGGCGGGAUGGUAAGUCAGAGGUGAAAGUCCAGGGCUCAACUCUGGAUCUGCCUCUGAUACUGCUGUCCUUGAGUGCGGGAGAGGGAAGUGGAAUUCCCGGUGUAGCGGUGAAAUGCGUAGAUAUCGGGAAGAACACCAGUGGCGAAGGCGGCUUCCUGGCCCGCAACUGACGCUGAAUCACGAAAGCGUGGGGAGCAAACAGGAUUAGAAACCCCAGUAGUCC